AAAAAAGCAGUGCCCCAUUACCUCUGUGAAUGCGACACUCGUUAAAUUCAGGAAAAUUGACUCGUGAAUCGUUCUUGGGUGAACCUCUGUUAUAAAAAGUGGCUGAAGGUUCAGUAAAUGAUUCAACAUUU
Daucus carota subsp. sativus is the source of this 131-nucleotide non-coding RNA. The record is from Rfam. Lineage: Eukaryota; Viridiplantae; Streptophyta; Magnoliopsida; Apiales; Apiaceae.